CAGCAGCCACGGGAACACAGAGGUCCCGAGCGUUGUUCGGAUUCAUUGGGCGUAAAGGGUGUGUAGGAGGUCGGGUAAGUCAGGUGUGAAAUCUCACAGCUUAACUGUGAAACUGCGCUUGAUACUGCUCGGCUAGAGGAUCGGAGGGGGUAACGGAAUUUAUGGUGUAGCAGUGAAAUGCGUAGAUAUCAUAAGGAACACCGGUGGCGAAGGCGGUUACCUGGAAGAUUCCUGACUCUGAAACACGAAAGCCAGGGGAGCAAACGGGAUUAGAUACCCCAGUAGUCCCUGUCUCUUAUAC
RNAcentral lists this ribosomal RNA (301 nucleotides) under uncultured bacterium. Its description in RNAcentral is "partial 16S ribosomal RNA". It matches the Rfam family "Bacterial small subunit ribosomal RNA", at positions 509 to 807 of the family's 1533-position model. The record is from RNAcentral.